AGUGAACGCUGGCGGUAGGCCUAACACAUGCAAGUCGAACGGCAGCACAGUAAGAGCUUGCUCUUACGGGUGGCGAGUGGCGGACGGGUGAGGAAUACAUCGGAAUCUACUUUUUCGUGGGUGAUAACGUAGGGAAACUUACGCUAAUACCGCAUACGACCUACGGGUUAAAGCAGUGGAUCUUCGGACCUUGCGCGAUUGAUUGAGCCGAUGUCGGAUUAGCUAGUUGGCGGGGUAAAGGCCCACCAAGGCGACGAUGCGUAGCUGGUCUGAGAGGAUGAUCAGCCACACUGGAACUGAGACACGGUCCAGACUCCUACGGGAGGCAGCAGUGGGGAAUAUUGGACAAUGGGCGCAAGCCUGAUCCAGCCAUACCGCGUGGGUGAAGAAGGCCUUCGGGUUGUAAAGCCCUUUUGUUGGGAAAGAAAAGCAGCAGGUUAAUCCCCCGCUGUUCUGACGGUACCCAAAGAAUAAGCACCGGCUAACUUCGUG
RNAcentral lists this ribosomal RNA (492 nucleotides) under uncultured bacterium. Its description in RNAcentral is "partial 16S ribosomal RNA". It matches the Rfam family "Bacterial small subunit ribosomal RNA", at positions 29 to 507 of the family's 1533-position model. The record is from RNAcentral.